AAGAGAGGGCGGGGGGAAGGAAGAGGAGGCGGGAUCCGGGCGCUGCGUUGGCUGCGGCCUGGCACCAAAGGGGCGGCCCCGGCGGAGAGCGGACCCAGUGGCCUCGGCGAUUAUGGACCCGGCCGAGGCGGUGCUGCAAGAGAAGGCACUCAAGUUUAUGUGCUCUAUGCCCAGGUCUCUGUGGCUGGGCUGCUCCAGCCUGGCGGACAGCAUGCCUUCGCUGCGAUGCCUGUAUAACCCAGGGACUGGCGCACUCACAGCUUUCCAGCUUACUUUCUUUCACAGAAUUCCUCAGAGAGAGAAGACUGUAAUAAUGGCGAACCCCCUAGGAAGAUAAUACCAGAGAAGAAUUCACUUAGACAGACAUACAACAGCUGUGCCAGACUCUGCUUAAACCAAGAAACAGUAUGUUUAGGAAGCACUGCUAUGAAGACUGAGAAUUGUGUGGCCAAAACAAAACUUGCCAAUGGCACUUCCAGUAUGAUUGUGCCCAAGCAACGGAAACUCUCAGCAAGCUAUGAAAAGGA
Molecule: small RNA, 527 nt
Filed under: Pan troglodytes (chimpanzee)
Lineage: Eukaryota; Metazoa; Chordata; Mammalia; Primates; Hominidae
Description: processed transcript
Source: RNAcentral